UACAGAGGUCCCAAGCGUUGUUCGGAUUCAUUGGGCGUAAAGGGUGUGUAGGCGGCGCCGUAAGUCAGGUGUGAAAUCUCGGGGCUUAACUCCGAAACUGCAUUUGAUACUGCGGUGCUUGAGGACUGGAGAGGAGACUGGAAUUUACGGUGUAGCGGUGAAAUGCGUAGAUAUCGUAAGGAAGACCAGUGGCGAAGGCGGGUCUCUGGACAGUUCCUGACGCUGAGACACGAAGGCCAGGGGAGCAAACGGG
RNAcentral lists this ribosomal RNA (253 nucleotides) under uncultured bacterium. RNAcentral's name for it is "partial 16S ribosomal RNA". It matches the Rfam family "Bacterial small subunit ribosomal RNA", at positions 524 to 776 of the family's 1533-position model. The record is from RNAcentral.